AGUUCAGCGUGAGCGCUCAGGUCACUCCAUCUGCCUGCUCUCUCUCUCUCUGCUUGAGAUGCAUUGUAAUCACCCCCUUGCGUUUGGAUCAUGUCAAUAUCUCCUUGCAAUUGGGCAAUUUUAAAAAGCAAACUUUUUGGAAUACCUGCUAUUUAGUAGCCGUCAGACUGCAGCCAUUCCCUACAAUAACCUCUGAGGAAAUUUAGGACAAGGAAACACAGGAUACUGGCUCCAGAAUAUCUUCUUAAGUGGAAGACAAAAACAUGGAAUGAUGCUAAAAAUUCCAGGACUGCUCCCAUCCUACAGCUUGCUCUCCCGAUAACUUCCCUGGACAGCUGCUCCUACCCUCUGUCCUCUGUCCAUUGCCAGUGAUGGCAUGAGCCUUGCUCUAAGGCAGACCCUAUGUGAAGUCAACUUUUAAGAACAAUCAGAAAUGACCUUACAGGAUAAAGGUUCACACUAACAACGUUCUUUUCAGGUAGAUUUCAAGAGCAUCCUCUUCUGUAAACAUUCCUCCUCACUGCAACUAGAAGUGAGAGUCUUCUGUUUCACAGUCCUGUGGCAAGUGGCUUUUAUUUUCCUUAUGGUAUUUAGGAUCAGUGAGGUCUUGAAGAUCAGAGAGUAAUUCAUCUCUGACUACCACUUCCUAUGCCUCCCUGCUUCCAUCCCAGCUAAUAAAGAAAUGGUUUUGAAUGAAUUAAU
This is a long non-coding RNA of Bos taurus (domestic cattle), 702 nucleotides long. Lineage: Eukaryota; Metazoa; Chordata; Mammalia; Artiodactyla; Bovidae. The record is from Ensembl.